Molecule: long non-coding RNA, 549 nt
Organism: Haliotis rufescens (red abalone)
Lineage: Eukaryota; Metazoa; Mollusca; Gastropoda; Lepetellida; Haliotidae
Exons: 3
Source: RefSeq, a predicted model, not a curated record
CGGUUUCCGGACCCCUGCUGUGAAGUAAUGUAAAGUGUAGUGUACGUAUAGGUGGACAGUGGUCAUGAUUGAUGGAUGAAAUAACAGACGACCAUACCUGCUCUUGAUGCACUGUUCUGAAUGACAGACUACUUUGCAGCCAAAUAGUGCUGAUCACACAGAGCAGCAUCUGUCUGACCUACAGUCACUCAUCUCACAACAACUGCCUGCACCUGCAGUAGUGUAUUGCAUACUGACUGUAUGCCAGCAGCCAGUCCAGGGACGUGUGCAGCUGACCAUGACCGUGAACAGAGUCUCGCUUGGUGAGGUGCAAAAUGGAGGACAAGCUGUGCCAACUUACAAAUGAAAUUACAGUUGUCCCUCGCAAUAAUGCUCUUCACGAUAUUGCAGAUUCACUUAAACCACGGGAUAAUCAAUGAUUCCCAUAAAUUUCAGUAUUUUCCCCACAGACACACAUCUUCACGCCAUCGGAAAUAGCAUAUCAACAAAUCUGUACUGAAUUAUGAGUGAGUGAGUGAGUGAGUAUGUUUUACGCCGCUUUUAGCAAUA